RNAcentral lists this ribosomal RNA (253 nucleotides) under uncultured bacterium. Its description in RNAcentral is "partial 16S ribosomal RNA". It matches the Rfam family "Bacterial small subunit ribosomal RNA", at positions 524 to 776 of the family's 1533-position model. The record is from RNAcentral.
UACAGAGGUCUCAAGCGUUGUUCGGAUUCAUUGGGCGUAAAGGGUGCGUAGGUGGUGAGGAAAGUCGGAUGUGAAAUCUCCGGGCUUAACCCGGAAAUGGCAUUGGAAACUACCUUGCUAGAGGUUUUGAGGGGGGACUGGAAUUCUCGGUGUAGCAGUGAAAUGCGUAGAUAUCGAGAGGAACACCGGUGGCGAAGGCGAGUCCCUGGAAAACACCUGACACUGAGGCACGAAAGCUAGGGGAGCAAACAGG